Long non-coding RNA from Clupea harengus (Atlantic herring), 430 nucleotides. The record is from Ensembl. Lineage: Eukaryota; Metazoa; Chordata; Actinopteri; Clupeiformes; Clupeidae.
UUUUCAGUUGUGCGUGUGAGAGGUUACAUUUUCAGUUGUGCGUGUGAGAGGUUACAUUUUCAGUUGUGUGUGUGAGAGGUUACAUUUUCAGUUGUGCGUGUGAGAGGUUACAUUUUCAGUUGUGCGUGUGAGAGGUUACAUUUUCAGUUGUGCGUGUGAGAGGUUACAUUUUCAGUUGUGCGUGUGAGAGGUUACAUUUUCAGUUGUAUGUGUGAGAGGUUACAUUUUCAGUUGUAUGUGUGAGAGGUGUUCACUGUGGUAUAAGAGAGGUUCUCACUCAUGAGUAUGAGAGGUUUUCAGUUGUCAUUGUGUGAGGUUCCAUUUUCACUAGUGUACGUGAGGGGUGUUUAGUAGUGAAUGUGAGUGUAUUUCAGUAGUGUUUGUGAAAGGCAAAAGGUCUUCAAUGGUGUGUAUGAGAGGCAAGUUUGAA